Molecule: non-coding RNA, 24 nt
Filed under: Arabidopsis thaliana (thale cress)
Lineage: Eukaryota; Viridiplantae; Streptophyta; Magnoliopsida; Brassicales; Brassicaceae
Source: RNAcentral
AUCCAUCGUGAUGGUAAUCUGCUU